UACGGCGGCUAUAGCGAGAGGGAAACGCCCGGUCACAUUCCGAACCCGGAAGCUAAGACUCUCAGCGCCGAUGGUACUGCAGGGGAGACC
RNAcentral lists this ribosomal RNA (90 nucleotides) under Rathayibacter toxicus. Lineage: Bacteria; Bacillati; Actinomycetota; Actinomycetes; Micrococcales; Microbacteriaceae. The record is from RNAcentral.